Molecule: ribosomal RNA, 459 nt
Filed under: uncultured bacterium
Lineage: Bacteria
Description: bacterial SSU rRNA
Rfam family: Bacterial small subunit ribosomal RNA
Source: RNAcentral
AUUGAACGCUGGCGGCAUGCUUUACACAUGCAAGUCGAACGGCAGCGGGGGCUUCGGCCUGCCGGCGAGUGGCGAACGGGUGAGUAAUGCAUCGGAACGUACCCAGUUGUGGGGGAUAACUACUCGAAAGAGUAGCUAAUACCGCAUACGCCCUGAGGGAGAAAGCGGGGGAUCUUCGGACCUCGCGCGAUUGGAGCGGCCGAUGUCGGAUUAGCUAGUUGGUGGGGUAAAGGCCCACCAAGGCGACGAUCCGUAGCGGGUCUGAGAGGAUGAUCCGCCACACUGGGACUGAGACACGGCCCAGACUCCUACGGGAGGCAGCAGUGGGGAAUAUUGGACAAUGGGCGAAAGCCUGAUCCAGCCAUGCCGCGUGAGUGAUGAAGGCCUUAGGGUUGUAAUGCUCUUUUAGCAGGGAAGAUAAUGACGGUACCUGCAGAAUAAGCCCCGGCUAACUUCGUG